UGGCCCUACGGGACGCAGCAGUGGGGAAUAUUGCACAAUGGGGGAAACCCUGAUGCAGCGACGCCGCGUGAGCGAGGAAGUACCUCGGUAUGUAAAGCUCUGUCAGCAGGGAAGAAAAUGACAGUACCUGACCAAGAAGCCCCGGCUAACUACGUGCCAGCAGCCGCGGUAAUACGUAGGAUGCGAGCGUUAUCCGGAUUUAUUGGGUUUAAAGGGUGCGCAGGCGGGAGAUCAAGUCAGCGGUAAAAUGUCGGGGCUCAACCCCGGCCGGCCGUUGAAACUGGUUUUCUAGAGUUGGAGAGAAG
Molecule: ribosomal RNA, 305 nt
Filed under: uncultured bacterium
Lineage: Bacteria
Description: bacterial SSU rRNA
Rfam family: Bacterial small subunit ribosomal RNA
Source: RNAcentral